Molecule: ribosomal RNA, 253 nt
Filed under: uncultured bacterium
Lineage: Bacteria
Description: partial 16S ribosomal RNA
Rfam family: Bacterial small subunit ribosomal RNA
Source: RNAcentral
UACGGGGGGGGCAAGCGUUGUUCGGAAUUACUGGGCGUAAAGGGUUCGUAGGUGGCCAACUAAGUCAGACGUGAAAUCCCUCAGCUUAACUGGGGAACUGCGUCUGAUACUGGUUGGCUUGAGUGCAGGAGAGGAAUGCGGAAUUCCAGGUGUAGCGGUGAAAUGCGUAGAUAUCUGGAGGAACACCGGUGGCGAAGGCGGCAUCCUGGACCAACACUGACGCUGAGGAGCGAAAGCCAGGGGAGCAAACGGG